GGUCACGAGUUCCAGCGCACAGCCCCGGCUUGCUGGACGGCAACCCUCCACCGCGGUGGGGUGCUCCGGGUGACGACCUGGCUGCGUGCGACCGCACGCAGCAAGUGCGGGUU
This 113-nucleotide non-coding RNA is filed under the name Dermacoccus sp. Its description in RNAcentral is "SAM-IV sequence". It matches the Rfam family "SAM (S-adenosyl methionine) riboswitch aptamer". Rfam says of the family: SAM-IV is a mRNA element that regulates gene expression via direct sensing of S-adenosylmethionine (SAM or AdoMet). Lineage: Bacteria; Bacillati; Actinomycetota; Actinomycetes; Micrococcales; Dermacoccaceae. The record is from RNAcentral.